This 285-nucleotide long non-coding RNA is filed under the name Anas platyrhynchos platyrhynchos (common mallard). RNAcentral describes it as "lncRNA (ENSAPLG00000020675.1)". The record is from RNAcentral. Lineage: Eukaryota; Metazoa; Chordata; Aves; Anseriformes; Anatidae.
AAGUGAGCAAACAAGGAGAAAAUUUAAAUCAUUCAUUAAAUAAGGCAUUGGGUUUCUAGGUACUCUGCUGCUCUGCUGUCCGAAAGAUCACCAAGCUUUAUAUCACAAGAAGAAAUAUAUAUUAAAGGUCAUAGAAACAAGGAAUAUUUGUGGAAUAUUAAAAAUUACUGAGUGUGGUUUCAAGUUCAGAUCAAACUUUCUCAGUAAUUCACAUUUGAUGUGCUCCAGCUCAUCCUUCCCCAAUUAAAAUUUGUACGUUUGCCAAUAAAGAUUAAGAGAUCAGCA